This is a non-coding RNA of Talpa occidentalis (Iberian mole), 330 nucleotides long. NCBI's taxonomy places the organism in Eukaryota, Metazoa, Chordata, Mammalia, Eulipotyphla, Talpidae. The record is from the annotation of a RefSeq genome assembly.
AUGGUUCUCAGGCUCCUCUGCACUGUGGCCUUUUCUUUCCUGGGAGCAGUCCUCACCGAUGCAGGCGUCACCCAGAGCCCAAGAUACCUGGUCAAAAAAGAGGGAGACCACGCCUUGUUUGAAUGCUCACAGGACAUGGACCAUGAUAACAUGUUCUGGUAUCGACAGGACCCAGCGCUGGGGCUGCAGCUGCUCUACUACUCCUUCGGUGUCAAGGAUACUCAGAAAGGCGAUUUCCCUGAUGGGUACAAUGUGUCCAGGAAGGAGGAGGAACGAUUCCCCCUAAAUGUGACGUCCGCCAAGACCGAUCAGACAUCCGUACUCGCUUGA